Molecule: long non-coding RNA, 6002 nt
Filed under: Medicago truncatula (barrel medic)
Lineage: Eukaryota; Viridiplantae; Streptophyta; Magnoliopsida; Fabales; Fabaceae
Description: long non-coding RNA (MTRU_LNC003546)
Source: RNAcentral
UUUUCUUUGCAACGUUCACAUAUUGGUUGCUAUUAAUAAGGCUUUGUUUUUGCAUACAAAGCCAUGACUUGCCUAUAUGAAAAAACUGAUUACGGGAAACAAACUGAGUGUGAAGCUCUUUUCUUAUUCUAGUCCACAACAAAAAUAACAAUCCUCUCAUACCAAAAUUAAGAAAAGCUACAUAUUUUAAUUUUUGUCCAGUCAACAACUCUGGGUUUCAUCUUCCUGAAAUUUUUUUCUUCUUGUUAGUUAUGUAUCCUUGGUUUUAAACCAAGGUUGAAGAGCCUGUUGAAUAUCGGGUUACUAUUUUGUAGGUUUCUUAUGAAUUGUUGAUAGAACUAUGUCGACGGUCAAGUCAAACAAUAAUAUAUAGCACUGAUAAGUUAUUUGAUAUCUCUCUUUUUAUUCUCUUCAAUAUUUAAUUAUUUCUCAUUUUAUGUGUUGAUUAUUAUUUGGAGAUAAUUUUAUAUCAAUAUUUUACAACAGAAGUAUGUAUGUUUUUCUUAUUCUACCAGUGUUUCUUUUUUUUUUUUUUUCUUUUCUUUUUUCAGAUAAAAUAGUUCGAAUCAAAUAGACACGUAUAGACUAGUUUGUAGAAAACAAGGGAAAAUAGCAAGUAGACAAGGUUUGAGAAUGGACAUGGUGGAGAGUCGGUCUAUAACCUUUUGUACUUCAUUUAUCAAAAAAAUAUUUAGAAGACAACUUCAUAUUUGCAAGAGUACGUCAGAAAAAGCCUGCAUGCAUGUGACAUAUUUUGACAGGGGUUACGUCAGGGUUUAUGCCAGGAGCGUAUUUGCCAGGAGCUAAGGCCCUGGCAUAGUCAUUUGCGAUGACCUGAAUUGUUGGGGAUUCUGCCCUUGACAAAACUCCUGCAAACGUCAGGGCUUCUGCCCUUGUCAAAUUACCAUAUUAAAUUUCUCGUAGUGAUCAUCCUAAUUAUCAAUAUGUAACCAUAGCUUGUCCGGUGAAAAAAAGUAUUAUAAUCAAACUUGUCGAUUAUAAUGAUGGCGAGAUUAUGCGAUACAAUUUUUUUUCAUUGAUAAUCUUUAGGUUAUACCGUUAUUUAUUUAUUUUUGACAAAGGUUAUGCCAUUUUUUAUAAUGUUUGUUGUUAGACUUUUUGUUUUUUUAACAUGACAUUUUGUUGUUGUUGUUUAUAUUCGAGAUUAGAGAGAGUAUUUCUCUAUUCCGCCACUCUCUUGUUUGUCUUUCUUGUGUACUUAACACAUAAAAAAAAUUGACAUCAUAUCAUAAUAUACAAUUUCUGGUGUCAACCUUUUGCGAUAACAUUUUUGUUUUUUAAAUAGGUUUGUGUUAGGUUAAUAACUUAUUUUUGUGUUAAUUUUGUGAACAUUGGAAAAGGUUAAAGCCAUUUUGAUUGACUUUGAUAUGUACAUGCAAUAUGAAGUAGAAACGUGGAAAGCAAGCCUGUGCAAGUAAUACAUGGUGGCUUGUUAUUCAAUUGUUCGCACAUGUUCAUAUGUUGUACAUGUUGAAAUUGUAUGCAUGGCAGUAAAUAAUUUUGACAAUUUGUCCAAUUGUUUACGGUGCCAUAAAUUGGAGUGGUUGAGGCAAUGGCUUUGCAAUCCUAUAAAUAGCUUGCCCGUGAAUCAUUUCCAAUCAUCCCAAAUCAGUAACAACACAAGAACAAGUAAAGCUUGUUUAGAUAGUGAGAGAAAAAAUAUAGAGAGAAAAAUUAGUUUCUCCUGUGAGAUUUCUCCUAGUUUGUGUUAGUUAGUAUUCUCCUAUUUAUAAGAGAGAGUGGUAAUUGUACUCUCCUUGUAGUUAGAGAGAGGUCCUGUAAUUUCUUCCACUUAGUGAAAGUUCUCUACUCUUGCCCCGUGGUUUUUUCCCCUUAUUUGUUGAGGGGUUUCCACGUAAAAUAUUGUGUGUUCAGUUCCUCUUUUCUCGUCUCUUAUUUUAGCUGCGUGAUAAUAUUUUUCCCUAUGGAAAUUGAAGAUAAGGGCAAUUUUAAGAAAAGAUAAUUGCUUAGACGCAAUAGAUGGCAGACCUGCAGAUAUCACUGACGAAAAGUGGAAAGAGAUGGAUGAUAAUGCCGUUGCCAAUUUGCACCUAGCAAUGGCGGACUCGGUAUUGUCAAGUAUUGCUGAAAAGAAGACGGCAAAGGAGAUUUGGGAUACUCUAAUAAAAUUGUACGAGGUCAAAUCACUCCACAACAGAAUAUUCUUAAAGAGAAGGCUCUACACUCUUCGAAUGGGUGAAUCCACAUCCGUAACGGAUCACAUCAACACCCUGAAUACGCUAUUUUCUCAACUCACGGCUUCUGAUUUCAAAAUAGCGGAGAAUGAGCGUGCUGAACUUCUACUUCAGAGUUUACCAGAUUCGUAUGAUCAACUCAUCAUCAACAUUACAAAUAAUAACAUAGCUGAUACUCUUCACUUUGAUGAUGUCGCCGGUGCAAUCCUUGAAGAAGAAUCCAGGCGCAAGAAUAAGGAAGAAAGGUCAGAGAGUUCAAAGCAAGCAGAGGCUUUGACGAUGACGAGAGGCAGAUCAACGGAACGUGGCCCUAGUGGGAGUCAAAAUCAUGGUAGGUCAAAAUCUCGAAGAAAGAAGAAUAUCAAAUGUUACGGUUGUGGCAUGAAAGGGCACGUAAAGGAGUGUUGGAAUAUCAAGAAGAAUGGAGAGAAGAAUUUUGAAGCUUCAACAUCUCAAGGAUGUGUUGCAAGUACCUCAGAUGACGGGGAAAUCCUGUAUAGCGAGGCAACAACCAGUUCUAAAGGCGAAAGACGACUCAACGAUGUCUGGAUAAUGGAUUCAGGUGCAACAUGGCACAUGACUCCACACCGAGAUUGGUUUUUCUCUUAUGAGCCUAUCUCAGAAGGAUCUGUGUACAUGGGAAAUGAUCAUGCCUUAGAAAUUGCUGGAGUCGGUACUAUCAGAUUAAAGAUGCAUGAUGGUACUCUUAGAAAAAUACAAGGAGUGCGUCAUGUAAAGGGGUUGAAGAAGAAUUUAUUGUCUGUUGGACAAUUGGAUGAUCUCGGGUGUAAGAUCCACACUGAAAGUGGAAUCUUGAAAGUAGUGAAAGGCAAUCUUGUGGUGAUAAAAGCAGAAAAGAUCACAAGUAAUCUAUACAUGCUUCUAGGGGAUACGUUGCAAGAGGUCGAUGCAUCAGUUGCAGCAUCAAGCCAAGAAGAAACAGCGAUGAUGUGGCAUCAAAGACUAGGCCAUAUGUCAGAACGUGGCUUGAAAGUCCUUGCUGAACGCAAUCUCCUUCACGGGCUCAAGGCAGUAAAUUUACCAUUUUGUGAGCACUGUGUGAUAAGCAAGCAACAUAGAUUGAAGUUUGCUAGAGUAACUACUAAAAGCAAACACAUACUAGACUUGAUACAUUCUGAUGUGUGGGAGUCACCAGAAAUAUCUCUGGGAGGAGCAAGAUACUUCGUGUCAUUCAUUGAUGACUAUUCCAGAAGAUUAUGGGUGUACCCAAUCAAGAAGAAGUCGGAUGUGUUUCCAGUAUUCAAGGCAUUCAAAGCACAAAUAGAGCUUGAAACUGGGAAGAAAAUUAAGUGCUUGAGGACAGACAAUGGAGGAGAAUAUGUAGAUGGCGAGUUUCUAGCAUUUUGUAAACAAGAGGGUAUUGUAAGGCAAUUCACGGUUGCACAUACACCUCAGCAGAAUGGUGCGGCAGAGCGGAUGAAUAGAACUCUCCUAGAAAGAACAAGAGCUAUGCUGAAAACAGCAGGAAUGGCCAAGUCGUUCUGGGCAGAAGCAGUGAAAACCGCCUGUUAUGUAAUAAAUCGCUCACCAUCAACGACAAUUGAUUUGAAGACACCAAUGGAGAUGUGGAAAGGAAAGCCAGUAGAUUAUUCUUCUCUACAUGUGUUUGGUUGUCCUGUGUACGUGAUGUACAACUCCCAAGACAGAACGAAGUUGGACCCAAAGUUCAGAAAAUGUAUCUUCUUGGGUUAUGCUGACAAUGUUAAGGGGUAUCGCCUGUGGGAUCCCACUGCCCGCAAGGUUAUUGUUAGCAGGGAUGUAGUCUUUGCAGAAAAUGAACUGCAAAGUGAGCAGAAAAAUGACAGCACUUCUAAAGAGACUGCUAUAAUGCAGAUGGAAGAAAAAUCCAAAGAAAGUGAUUCUUCUGAAGCUGAACCGAUGCACGGAGAACAAGAACCAUAUGAUGUCAAUGAUGGUGUUCGUCGAUCAACGCGUCAGACGCAGAAACCGUCUUGGCAAUCAGACUAUGUUAUGACAAGCCACGAUGCAUAUUGUCUUAUAACUGAAGAAGGUGAACCGUCAACUUUUCAUGAGGCGUUGAAUGGUUCGGAUGCUUCUCAAUGGAUGACAGCAAUGCAUGAAGAAAUGGAGGCCUUACAUAGGAACAAGACAUGGGAGCUUGUUGAACUUCCAAAGGGUCGGAAAGCCAUUGGAAACAAAUGGGUAUACAAGAUCAAACGUGAUGGCAAUGAUCAAGUGGAACGGUAUCGUGCAAGACUGGUUGUAAAAGGAUAUGCUCAGAAAGAAGGUAUUGACUUCAAUGAGAUAUUUUCUCCGGUUGUCAGACUUACUAUUAUCAGAGUAGUGUUGGCGAUGUGUGCUGCAUUGGAUUUACAUCUUGAACAGCUGGAUGUAAAGACUGCUUUUCUUCAUGGAGAACUUGAAGAAGAAAUUUAGAUGCUCCAACCGGAAGGAUUUAAGGAACAAGGAAAAGAAAACCUGGUUUGCAGGUUGACCAAAUCUCUGUACGGUCUAAAGCAGGCGCCCAGAUGUUGGUACAAGAGAUUUGAUUCUUUCAUAAUUAGCCUCGAUUACAACAGACUUAGUUCAGACCAUUGUACGUACUACAAAAGGUUUGAUGGCAAUGAUUUUAUCAUUUUGCUGUUGUAUGUGGAUGACAUGUUGGUGGUAGGCCCCAACAAAGUUCGAGUCCAGGAAUUGAAGGCACAGUUGGCUAGGGAGUUCGAUAUGAAAGACUUGGGACCAGCAAACAAGAUUUUAGGGAUGCAAAUUCACCGAGACAGAAAAGACAGGAAGAUUUGGCUUUCUCAAAAGAAUUAUCUAAGGAAAGUCUUGCGCCGCUUCAACAUGCAAGACUGUAAGCCAAUCUCUACCCCACUUCCUGUGAAUUUUAAAUUAUCCUCAGGUAUGAGUCCUAGCAAUGAAGCGGAGAGGAUGGAAAUGUCUCGAGUACCGUAUGCAUCGGCGGUGGGAAGCCUUAUGUAUGCCAUGAUAUGUACAAGACCAGACAUUGCACAAGCAGUGGGAGUGGUUAGUCGGUUUAUGGCGGAUCCGGGUAAAGAGCAUUGGAAUGCUGUUAAGAGAAUCAUGAGGUACAUUAAAGGAACCUUAGGUGUUGCAGUAUGUUUCGGAGGAUCAGAGUUAACUGUCAGGGGUUAUGUUGAUUCAGAUUUUGCAGGUGAUCAUGAUAAAAGAAAAUCUACUACUGGUUAUGUGUUCACGCUUGCAGGAGGAGCAGUAAGUUGGUUGUCCAAGUUACAAACUGUUGUAGCUCUGUCAACGACAGAAGCUGAGUACAUGGCAGCUACCCAAGCAUGCAAGGAAGCUAUUUGGAUGCAAAGGUUAAUGGAGGAACUCGGGCACAAGCAAGAGAAAAUUACUGUGUAUUGUGACAGUUGAUAAGUGCUAGAAAGUUGUAUUUUAAGUAAUAUAUUUUAGGCACUUUUGUUACUUGUUUUGCAAGUUAUUAAGGGAAAAGCCGAGAAAUAAGUGAUUAUUGCCCUUUUACGCUUUAUCUAUCUUACUUCACCCAUUUGUGCAGGAUUUGAACUCAAGACAUCAAGGAAAUAGAAGAAAAUGAAGAAAAGUACAAAAAGGCUGAAAAAUGAAGAUUACUCGCCCCCAACUCGCCAUGGCCAGUAAAAGGCGAGCAAUUCCAGUGGCCAACAGAGAUUACACGCCACCAACUCGCAACGGCGAGUAGAAGGCGAGUGUGUUCGCCAUGGCGAGUGGAAUGACUCGCGAGGCGAGUAAAGGCGGUUUAGCCUCUCAAUGCUGACGUGGCACAAACCCAAUGGGGAAGAA